UCUUAUCGCUAUGGCAGACCAGCUUUCUGUGAAACCCUCUUUCUGCACACAGGUGCCGUUCUGCUCUCAGUCGCUGAAAGUUUUGAGGAGGAAAUAUCACCAUCAUCUGCAGAGGAGAAAACAGCUUCUCCAGAGGCAGUAAGGCACACAGAGGUUUCCCCUAGUGAAGAAUCAGCUCAUGAGCUUGUACAGACAGAAGAAGGGCAGUUGUCCACAGAGAAGAUUCCAUCACAUUCUGAUGUUGUUCAGCUCUCAGUCUCUCAGACUUGUGACGACGAAACAUUACCAUUAUCCACCAAAGAGGAAAUGGUUUCCAGUCCAGUGGCAGUAAAGCACACAUUGGAUUUCCCUGAUGAAGAACCAGCUCAUGAGCUUGAACAGAAAGAAGAACAGGGACAGUUGUCCACAGAGAAGAUGUUUCCAUCACAUUCUGGUGUCAUUUUGCUUUCAGUCUCUGGGACUUGUGAAGAAGAAAUAUCACCAUCAUCUGCAGAAGAGAAAACGGCUUCCAGUCCAGAGGCAGUAAAGCACACAUUGGAUUUCCCUGAUGAAGAAUCAGCUCAUGAGCUUGAACAGACAGAAGAGAAACAGUCGUCAACAGAGAAGCUGUUUCCUUCACGUUCUGGUGCAGUUGUCUUCAAAUAUGGCAUAUAGUUGUCUUGUUUAAAGCUUCAAAAUGUAACUGUCUUGUCC
Long non-coding RNA from Pygocentrus nattereri (red-bellied piranha), 693 nucleotides. Lineage: Eukaryota; Metazoa; Chordata; Actinopteri; Characiformes; Serrasalmidae. The record is from Ensembl.